This 6821-nucleotide long non-coding RNA is filed under the name Nicotiana tabacum (common tobacco). Its description in RNAcentral is "long non-coding RNA (NTAB_LNC003123)". The record is from RNAcentral. Lineage: Eukaryota; Viridiplantae; Streptophyta; Magnoliopsida; Solanales; Solanaceae.
ACACAAAUUACUUCUCACCAAAAGUACUUAGGAGAAAAGUACUUUUAAAAAGACACUUCUUAGAAUAAAUUGAUUUUUGCAUCUUGGCCAAAUGGGCUAUUAAUUGUUAGUUCUAUUAUUAAAGUACUCUUUCGCAAUUCAGCCAAAAGUAAAAAAAAAUAAAAAAGGAAAAUAAGAAAAAAGCAGCAGCACCUACACUUUCGCCACUGUAAGCUUGAACCCGGUUCCAGUGCCGCUGGGCUGUGGCACUAUGGCUCAAGGUACUUUCUAAUUUCCUUUAUUUCAAGCGUUUUCUUAUGGGUUUGUAUUCCACAAGCGUUAGCAACUUAGGUGAAACGAACAAAUAGGAGGUUGUGCCCGUUUCUCUGUGUAUGUAUGUGUGUUCGUGUGGUUUUGGAGAGGAGUAGCUUUAUUUGUUUAGAGGACUUAGAGGUCUUUUGGUUUGAAGACAAGUUAUGCUGGGAUUAGUUCUUGUUGUUGUUUACUGCUUCCAACAUCUGACAGGUCUAAGUUAUCGCAAUGUUAAUUUUAAUCUCGAGAUAACUUAUUCGAGUAUUAAUAGACAAGCAAGUGAUAAGGCGGUACUAAAUUUUUAAUUCCAGGAUUAUUUUUGCUAGUCCAUCGUACCAAACGACCUCUUAGAGUCUUCUGUAUAGAUCAUGUGCUCUGGUUUUGUUCAAAUUUGGUUCUGGUGGACAAAUGGACUUUGAGUUUUGAAGAGGAAAGUUAUAAAAGAAUUCGUCUAGACCUUAAGGCUAAUGCGUAAUAGAUAUUUUUAAUUGGACUAAGCUUAGGUGUGACACCAUGAUGAUUGAGGUAGACUAUCAAUCACAUGUAUUAGAUCCAAUAAUUGAUAGGAGUCUUUUAAGUUUGUUUGAAGAUUGUAUGACAGUGUGGCGAUAGGUGUAAGAUUUAGAGAAUCUCUAUUUUGUCCUAAAUGACCAAUAAUUGAGUGGUAGAAAUGAAAUGGAUCAAAACGUGUUAUGAACUCAACAAACUCAACACCUACAGGGGAAAGAUGCAUAAUUAUAAUGGAAAUGCAAAGUAUAUAGUCAUAAACUAAGGAAAUAGUAACAGAAAGAAAGGAGAUAAGGAGACAAAGCUAUAGAGAGAAAUGGACGAGGGAGAGAGAGACCAGGAGAGGGGAAUUCCUCACAACAAUUCGCAUAACCUUCUUGCUAACUGCUAGUCCCUUUUAACCGAUUCCUGACAGCACCUCUUGGGCCUGGAUCCCAAAUUCACUUUUUUAAAGGUCUUCUUGUCCUCUGGCUUCUUCUCGCCCCAAUAGCUCUUUUCAGCCCAAUAUUGGGUUGGGGCUAAUUCAUAACAAUAUUCCCGUCCUCAAUAAAAAAGAAACCAGCAGUCCCAUAUGUACUAGCAACACUAGUGCGGGUAAUGAUGUUUACUGAAGCGACAUCAAUGACAAGCACAAACCUUGGAAUACAUGUUGCUUUGACGAGCUCAUCUCUAUCACAAGUAGAAAGGAAAACAAGUACUCCCCCCAUAACAAAGGCAAGUUUUGCCACUAGAAGCUCUAGCAAAACAAAUGCAGCGAAUGGUAAUCCUUCAGAGACUUCAAGGCUAGGUAUGGUGAUUUUGCUCAAUGAGGGCCACAACGACUUUUUGCUAUCAUAUGUGGACUGUUCAGAAUCCCUCUUAGCUUAAUGGAUAUAGAGGAUUCAUAUGGCCGACCUAAGCUAGUGUACGAGUGAGGCAUAAUUGUUUUUUUUACCUUGCCCAGCCGUCAAUACAGCUCUUAGACUAAUGAUCUUCUGAAAUUCCUGCUUACUUUUUAGUAAAACUUUUACAUUGCUGAAACCCUUCAAGUUAUAACUAGCUGCCCAAAUUUGCAUGAUAAUAUACUACUAAUUUUAAGCUAGCAAUCAUUACAUAAUUUUAACCUUCCCGUGGCGAAUCACUCCAUAUUUGCAAGCCUAUGCCCAUUGGCUUCUGCAACACAUGUGCGACACUUCUUCUGUACCAUCUGGCAAUUUCCUGUGUUAACUGAAAAUGGUCUCAUGCUUUUCAUGGAUACGUGAAUGUAGACUCUAGGACAAUUGGAUUGUGAGCUCAACAUUGUGCAAAAUAAGCCUCGUAAUCCUAUGAUACAAGAUUAAAUGCUUCACAGUGAAGAUGAGGAUUAUUAUGAUAUUACUGUUUAAAUUCUCCGUAAGCAGUAAUAUACGGGCCACUUUCUCUUUGAUGGACUAGAUUUUUUUCUUGCUACUUGAUGCUUGUUGCAAUGUCUUCUAUCACUAGUUCCCAAUUUCUCACACAAUAUAAGUAACUCCUGCUUUGGCCGAGCUGCAAGAUUAUGGCGUUUUGAAUUGUAGUUCAUAUUGACUAGUAGGUCUCCUUGCAAGCAUGUAAUUUCAGAACUAGAAGUUGAGGUGCAUGUUGUUGUUUUUAUUUUAUAAAUCACAAUAAGAUAAUAAUUGUAUCAAUAUAGUAGGAAAUCCCUAGGUGUAGAAGUGGUAUACAAAAAGUAGAGAACCUGUCCAAAACAUGGUUCUCUAUGAAAGACAUACAACCAUCUUUACUAACUAGAACCUCAAUGGUGUACCAAAACUUUACAAGGAACAAAAGACAAAUGCUUACAUAUAUACAGACGUAUUUUUGAAGGGAGAAAAGGCUAGCAGUUGAGUAUUUGGACAAAGCGAGUAGUUCAGUCAAUACAAUACAGAAAUUCCUUGCCAAAUCAAUAUACCGUAAGGUUGGGGCCUCUUACGUAUUGGAAGUCGCUAAAGUGUUUGCAUGUUUUCUUGCAUGUCCAUAUUCCCAUUUUGUGCAUAUGAUUCUAAUAGCCCAGUUUCAAUUUCAACAGUUUCUGCUGCAUUAAGUUCCUACAGAAAAGGCUUCCAUCAGUUAAUCUUUUGUGACAGUGAGUACAGCAUGCACAUCAAGCAGUGCAUCUACUGAGUCGACUAUUUUAUAACUAUAAUUCUAAGGCAUUUGUUCUUUGUCCUUAGUUUAUCCAUGCGAUGCAUGUUAUUCUAAAUCGACAGCAGGAAAAGUUUUUGGCUCCUACUCUGCUCAAUGGGCAAAUUUUAGUGUCUACAUUUACUUCGUUUUGUUCGAAUAUGUUUGCCAACACCGUGACAAAUGCUAAACUGUCUGAUUUCGAGUUACUACAAUCAAACUGGGCUCAUAAUCUGGGCCGAUUUGGUCUAGAAAAAGAACUCUUCUGUACCUAUAUUUCACUUUCUAAAGUAUCCAUUGCUUUCCUUGAUUGCAUAAACUAACCAAGUUUAGAGUGUCGGUCCAACCCAUGUCCACUUGGCUCCGGAAUUCUUCCCACUAGGUUUCUGGUUUCAUAUAUCUCAGUUUGUUGAUCUCAUGAACAUGUAUGUAACCUUUCAUUGGUAAUUUUAUCAAACUUUUACGCAAAAUGUGGCUAUAUGUGUACUCCUAAAUUUUGUAUGACUAGAGUGAGUAUUUUGCCAAAUGCAAAUUGUCUUCUUAGUCCUCCAUUUAUGCAUGCUUGCUUUCCUCCUCUUGUGGUCUCUUACAAUAUUAUGACGUCUUGCUUGGUCAAAUAUUAGUGCAGAUAUAAAACAUCUCAGUCCUUGGUGGUUCAAUUCUACUUGUAUCUUAAGUGGUCUGCCAACAUUGGUUCGGUUAAGCACAUUUGCCUUUUAAUGCAGAUGUAGCUUUAAAAGUGCGCUUCAGGAGUCUCAGCACAAAUGAAAAUUCACGAUUUUGAAAAAUACAAGUCGAGCACAUAACAACUUAACAAGUAUGUACGGUUGUCCAUCCUUUAAAUGAUUAUUCUUUAUGAUAUGAAGCCAGUUAGAAAAGGAAUUAGAAAUAAAUUUUAAAUACAAGAUCAAGUUGAGAUGGUAGAAUUUUAGGUGUUGAUAAGAGAUUUUUCAGUAGGACAACUUGCUUUUUGCUCCUCAAGUUAUUGCUUGAUUUCAAUUUCCCUGGUUCUUUCAGUAAUAUAAUUGACCAAUCUUUAACAACCCCAUAAUUUACAGAGUCUUCCAUCCCCUUCUUCUUUUGUCUAUCCCUCAUAUCCUUGAUAAUCCUUCUUCAGACCUUGUAACCCCUUAUGUACUCCUGAACUUUGCUCCCUACUUCUUGCAACCUUGCCAUUUGCCUUGAAAACUGUUAUUCUCUGCCUUUCCCGUGGUUCAUAAAUGGUACCGCAACAUGUGCAAUAAUAAUUUGGGGCAGAAUUGCAUGCAAAGGUUAAGGGUAGUUAAAGAUGGGGUUGCAAAGUGCAGGGAAGGUCUUAGAGCCACUUAGCAAUUAUUUGAAUGCUAAUUGCACACUGAUGAUUACUCAUUUUGUUACUCGGGUUUCACCUCCAUAUUGUUAAUAUUGUGCAUCAACAAUAUACCACAUUGUGAUUUUUUCAAUUUAAUUUAAGGUAAUUGCAGAAGCGGGAUUAAUAUAUAUUUCGUGUUUCUCUUAAAGAAAAUCAGGUGAUUAAUUUUAGAAAAUUUAUUCUUAUGCUUAUCAUUUUUUAAAAUAUUUGCGAGAAGUUCGGAUUUUGGUGCAUAUGUAUUAUUUAUUGAAUCAAACAGUAUUAACUAAUGAAAACUUUGGAGAAACAAAGGCGAAGUAGGGUAUCAACCUGAAUUCACUAAGCAUAAGCUUUACAUAAAUGUACAAAAUCUGAAAAAUAGUCAAAGAAAAAAGUCACUCAUAUCUGGAAUAUCUUAUCUUUCACCUGAAUCAGACCCUAAAUACACCGGGACAUCGAUCAAACAAUCCACAUUAAGUUGGUUGUGGAUCUCGUUAGUCCGUAGUUGAGCAAUAUCUCCAUGAAAUUCUUUUACGUUAAAUAUUUUUAAGAGAGGAUUCAAAUUAAGUUAGUUGCACAGCCUCUCUACCCCUUGGGGUAGGGGUAAGGUAUGUGUACACUCUAUCCUCCCUAGAUCCCACUUGUGGGAUUUUACUGGGUUGUUGUUGUUGCUAAGCUGAUCUAUUCAUUGUUGCAUUAUUUCAGGCUCAUCUCAUAGACCUAAGCAUCCGUUUGAACAUCUCAGCCUUGGAGACUGUUUUUAUUUAUUUAUGAACAUCUACCGCUGGCUUUAUACAGUUCUUUCUUUCUUAAAAAGCCUCAUGAAAUUCUUGAAUAAUUGCUCUAGUUAAGAAUCCCCACAAAGUGGAACUCUCAGCCUUGUUGAAGAUUUGGUUUCUACGUGUGCCUACUGAUUGGGUGCGUGUCCUAUUAAAUUCUACACGUUUCACAGAUUAUGUCAUUUCUUGAGGAGACUGCCAAAUUGCAAGUGGGAGAAUGAAUCAAGUAACGUCCUGACUAGUAUUGUCGGCAUUUGGUAAUGAAUAUAACGUCGACUAUCCUUUUCUUUUAUGACUUGGACUUCUACUAUUUGUAAAGACAUGUAUAUUAUGGUGAUUGGUGUAAAGUUGUGUUGUUUUUCAAAAUCCCGUUUGUGCUUAUUGUGCAUACGUAGGUAUAUUUACGUGUCUACAUUGGCCUAUGUAGGACAGAAGUUUAUUAGUACUCAUUGUGGCAUAGCAUUUGCUCCUAAAUUCGCAAAAAAGACUGCGACAACCUUUGUGAAUACAUGUCAACUGUUAACUAAAAUCAACAUUCCUGAAAUAGUGCAUGCUCAAAGCAUGGUGAUGUUUAAAUCUUUAGUUUAUUUAUCUACUUGUUAAUUUGUGUAUGGUGAAUGGUGAUUGAAACAACAUAAUCAUCCUAAAGUUUUAUUUGCAUCUCCAUGUUAUGGGUGAACUCUCAUGUACAAUAAAAGAACAAGAAUAUAGAUGCUAAAUUCAACAGAGUGGCGCUCAAGAUUUAUGUUGUCUGAUGUAUUUGAAGGGGGGAGUUGCAGGCAAUCUUUCCUCAGCUUACAUAGUAUCUCAUCAUCUUGUAUGUGGAAGACACUAGACAUCUCAGCGGAGAGAAGACGACCUGGAAUUCGUAGGGUAAAUAUUUUGUUCUAUUCACUUCAUAAUUUGAGUUAGAUAAGUCCUUUUUUCGCUGUUUGAAAUUCAAGUCAUGUAAGUCUCUGAAUAUGCAGACAGUUUGUCAAGAAAAUAUUCAAAUGCUUCAUGACUAUUGCUCCUUGUAAGUAACCUGAUUAUGUAGUAUGCUUUGGAGUCUCCAACAUCAGCCUGUCGUCAUUAACUCUGAUGCUUAUUUCAAUCAUGUUUUACUGAAAAGCAAAUUAUUGAUUUGCAUAAUGUUGCUUGGACAUGGUUUACAGGUCUGAAUAUAAUGAAUUUUCUCAAUUCUUUCUUGGAUUAAAUCUUUUAGUUAUUGCCCCAUGUGGAUGCUAUAGACUUGCUAUUAUGUUUGCUUUUGUUGUACUUAAAUCAUUUCUUCUUUGGUUGGUUUGAGUGGAUGAAUGGCUUAGGAGGGAUAUGACAAGUUUGUUCCAUUUCUAAGUAAUGACUCUAUAUUCUAGUUUCUACAGAUGUGCACUAACUAAAGUUUGACUUGAUGAUUAGACAUUUUUAUUCAAGAAUAUGGUACAUAUAGAAAACUUGAAAGCAAAGCCUUGCAUAUAUUUUGAUCAAGAUUCUGGCUACGCUUAACAUCAUUUCAACUAGGUAGAACCUAGCCUAAGAAUUCUGGGUGUGUUUCUUUUAUAGAUUCUUGUUGAUUACUGUUAUAUAUUUGUACAAAUUGCAGUCAGUUGAAACUUAAAAGUUUUUGAGGCUGAUCCUGGCCAAAUUGGGACCACAACGAAAAUACUUGAGGAAUUUCUUUUUCAAUGCUUUUUUGACCACUUGAAGCUCAAAACUUUGAUGCUUUUCUUUCCUUUCUCUGAAAGGCCAUCCUGAUGGAGAGUGACCAGACCACUUUCUUUCAAGAGGAUAGGUUUUUCAUUUUCAAUCACAAG